GACGAACGCUGGCGGCGUGCUUAACACAUGCAAGUCGAACGGAAAGGCCCUGCUUUUGUGGGGUGCUCGAGUGGCGAACGGGUGAGUAACACGUGAGUAACCUGCCCUUGACUUUGGGAUAACUUCAGGAAACUGGGGCUAAUACCGGAUAGGAGCUCCUGCUGCAUGGUGGGGGUUGGAAAGUUUCGGCGGUUGGGGAUGGACUCGCGGCUUAUCAGCUUGUUGGUGGGGUAGUGGCUUACCAAGGCUUUGACGGGUAGCCGGCCUGAGAGGGUGACCGGCCACAUUGGGACUGAGAUACGGCCCAGACUCCUACGGGAGGCAGCAGUGGGGAAUAUUGCACAAUGGGCGGAAGCCUGAUGCAGCAACGCCGCGUGCGGGAUGACGGCCUUCGGGUUGUAAACCGCCUUCGCCUGUGACGAAGCGUGAGUGACGGUAAUGGGUAAAGAAACACCGGCUAACUACGUG
This 468-nucleotide ribosomal RNA is filed under the name uncultured bacterium. RNAcentral's name for it is "partial 16S ribosomal RNA". It matches the Rfam family "Bacterial small subunit ribosomal RNA", at positions 28 to 507 of the family's 1533-position model. The record is from RNAcentral.